RNA transcript from Colossoma macropomum (tambaqui), 1410 nucleotides. It is a transcript of the gene named inner centromere protein, with no coding region annotated. The transcript is spliced from 6 exons. Lineage: Eukaryota; Metazoa; Chordata; Actinopteri; Characiformes; Serrasalmidae. The record is from RefSeq and is a predicted model, not a curated record.
AAGACCUGGUAGAAACACUGCAACACAACAAGUUAGGUAACUAGCACAGUGGGAGGUAAGACAUAAAACUUCCUUGUACACACAGUUCAACAAUCAAACACACAAAUGUCUUGUCUCACAUCCGUUAGUUCAAUUUAUUCUCGAGUGCCAAGCUGGAGCGGUCUUCUGUUGUGUUGUUCAAGUUGCCUAGAGACCAACUUCAGAGACAGAGUGAGGGGAAAGCAGCAAGCAGAAAGUAGAGGAGAGUGGUGUGUUUUUAAGCACCUAGUUCUGGUGCUCUAGAGGACAAGGGGCAGUGGAGAAGAAUGUCUACCCCAGCAAGAAUGACCCUGAGUGGGACCAGAAGGUCAGACCUGAACCCUCUGGAGAGAAUGGUCAACAGAACAACACUGACCACUCAGAGGGUCCUCCAUACACACAUUCUGGCAUUAGGAGAGAAGCUUUCCUCUGAGUUGCCUGCUUCCUCCUCCUCCACCAUGGAUGUUCUCCGCACAUCAGUUCCAGACUCUUCCACAGCAUGGCUGCCUUUGGUGGAGAUGGCACAGCCAGAUUACCCCUGGAUGGAGGAGUUUCAGCAGUGGGCUGAAGAAGAAAAAGAGAAGGCCCUAAAGCUCCAGGAGGAGUGUCUGCGAGCCCAGUUCCGGGAGGCUCUGCAGGCCAGGGAGAGGCUGGAGGCUGAGGCGAUUCAGGGUCAGCAGGCAAACCUGCAGGUCCAGCUCGAGGCUCACUGUGCUGGACUGCGGGAGCAGAUGAAGGAGGAGAAGAAGAUGGAGGUGCAAGAGGCCUGCAGGAGGCUGAAGGAGGAGAUGAAGAGGGAGGCAGAGAUGGAGAGAGAAAAGGAGAUGGGGGUCAUACAGGAACAGAUGGAGGAGCGUGUAAGGGAAGCGUGUAUCGAUGGCCGAGCGGCGUGUGAGGGAGGAGUGUGAAAAGGAGGCUCAGAGAGAGAAGCAGAACCUGCAAGACAGACAUAUGGAGGAAAUAUCACAGCUUCAGGACAAGCUGCAGCAGCUGCAGGACAGUCUGGUGCGGGUCUGCGGGGAGCGGAUGCAGUACGAGACGGAGCUUAAGAAGGUACAGGCCAGUUACAGACAGUUUAUUGAUCUGACUGACUCCUCCCUCCACUCUGAUUACCUGUUAAGGCUUCGUCGCCUGGGCAGAGAACCGGGCCUCGUGGAGACAUCCACCCAGACUGACGAUGUCAGCCACAAACCCUCCAUACCCUGAGCUCUCGAUGUCUAUCUGCAUUUCCAUGUUUUCAUGUUUCAUAUUAUCCACUUUACGGACAAAUCUGCACCAUAGGACAGUAAUAUACUGGUAGGGAUUCACAAUAAUAUCAGAAUCAUAUCAUUACUGGCAGAUACUUGCUUGAACAAAAUUAUCGGCAUCAGACAGAUUUUUAGACUUGAACGA